AUACGUAGGGGGCGAGCGUUGUCCGGAAUGAUUGGGCGUAAAGGGCGCGUAGGCGGCCCGGUAAGUCUGGAGUGAAAGUCCUGUUUUUAAGAUGGGAAUUGCUUUGGAUACUGUCGGGCUUGAGUGCAGGAGAGGUAAGUGAAAUUCCCAGUGUAGCGGUGAAAUGCGUAGAGAUUGGGAGGAACACCAGUGGCGAAGGCGACUUACUGGACUGUAACUGACGCUGAGGCGCGAAAGUGUGGGGAGCAAACAGGAUUAGGUACCCUGGUAGUCCACACUGUAAACGAUGAAUGCUAGGUGUAGGGGGUAUCGACCCCUUCUGUGCCGCAGUCAACACAAUAAGCAUUCCGCCUGGGGAGUACGGCCGCAAGGUUGAAACUCAAAGGAAUUGACGGGG
Molecule: ribosomal RNA, 397 nt
Filed under: uncultured bacterium
Lineage: Bacteria
Description: partial 16S ribosomal RNA
Rfam family: Bacterial small subunit ribosomal RNA
Source: RNAcentral